GGAAUAUUGGACAAUGGGCGCAAGCCUGAUCCAGCCAUGCCGCGUGUGUGAUGAAGGCCUUAGGGUUGUAAAGCACUUUCACCGGAGAAGAUAAUGACGGUAUCCGGAGAAGAAGCCCCGGCUAACGUCGUGCCAGCAGCCGCGGUAAUACGAAGGGGGCUAGGGUUGUUCGGAAUUACUGGGCGUAAAGCCAACGUAGGCGGAUCGAUCAGUCAGGGGUGAAAUCCCAGAGCUCAACCCUGGAACUGCCUUUGAUACUGUCGGUCUAGAGUAUGGAAGAGGUGAGUGGAAUCCCGAGUGUAGAGGUGAAAUUCGUAGAUAUUCGGAGGAACACCAGUGGCGAAGGCGGCUCACUGGUCCAUUACUGACGCUGAGGUGCGAAAGCGUGGGGAGCAA
This 396-nucleotide ribosomal RNA is filed under the name uncultured bacterium. Its description in RNAcentral is "bacterial SSU rRNA". It matches the Rfam family "Bacterial small subunit ribosomal RNA", at positions 358 to 771 of the family's 1533-position model. The record is from RNAcentral.